RNAcentral lists this ribosomal RNA (442 nucleotides) under uncultured bacterium. RNAcentral describes it as "partial 16S ribosomal RNA". It matches the Rfam family "Bacterial small subunit ribosomal RNA", at positions 338 to 795 of the family's 1533-position model. The record is from RNAcentral.
CCUACGGGAGGCAGCAGUGGGGAAUAUUGGGCAAUGGGCGAAAGCCUGAACCAGCACCGCCGCGUGAAGGAAGAAGGCUAUCGGGGUGUAAACUUCUUUUGACAGGGAAGAGCAGAAGACGGUACCUGUCGAAUAAGCCACGGAGAACUACGUGCCAGCAGCCGCGGUAGUACGUAGGUGGCAAGCGUUGUCCGAGUUUACUGGGGGUAAAGGGCGUGUAGCCGGGCUUACAAGUCAGAUGUGAAAUCCGGGGGCUCAACCCCCGAACUGCAUUUGAAACUGUUGGUCUUGAGUAUCGGAGGGGCAGGCGGAAUUCCUAGUGUAGCGGUGGAAUGCGUAGAUAUUAGGAGGAACACCAGUGGCGAAGGCGGCCUGCUGGACGACAACUGACGGUGAGGCGCGAAAGCGUGGGGAGCAAACAGGAUUAGAUACCCCGGUAGUC